CCGCUCUCUGCCGAAAGCUCCUCCAGGAGGCUGUGGAAAUAUCCCGGUGCACAGAAAUGGAUCGUGUAGUCAUAGUUCUCUGCGUUUCCUCAUUUUCCUUGCGGAGUUUUUAACCUCAGAAAGGUCCAAGCGAGGGAGAGGAGUCUUUGCUAUGCCCUGGGGUCCCUCCCAUGAGCAAACAGUCUUUUUGAAACUGCUGUGGUGUGGAUCACUCAUCCACGGGGUGCAGUCCUCUAAGGAUAGGCUGUUCUAGUUUGGAAGCAAGGGCCCUCUCUGUCUCUGGAAGCAGGGGCCCUCUCCAUUCGGGUCUCCCACUGGAUUGCAGUUUUCCCAGACAUCCACCUGCUCCAGCGUAAGUACUUCUGUCAUAGGCUUUGAGUGAUCUCUGUAUCCCCCAUGGACCUCAUGGGCUGCAGGGGGACAGCCUGCUUUACCACAGUCCUCACCACGGCCUGCAGAGGAGUCUCAGCUCUGGCACUUGGAGCACCUCCUCCCCUUCUUUUUCCACUGACCUGGGCACCGCCCUCUUGUUCUCCCUCACUUCCUCCUCUUCUCUGACUAGGAGAAAAACAGCUGCUUGUAGGUACCAUGGCAAACAAGUUCCACCAAUUCAAAGAUUCUUGCAGGAUCCUACAGUGCUCAGAGGUUGAUCUCGUCUAAGUUUCACAUCGGGGAGUCGCUCGCCAUGUUUUCUCCACCGGCUUGGUGGCUGCCACAGCACUGGUGCUAUAGAGUGCCUCUCCUCAUGUGGGGCACCAGCAAGGAGGAGCCACCACCACUGCCACCCCUGCCCUUCUGGACAAUUGGCGAGGGGCAGCCAAGCAGGCAAGGCUCACUGUGGGCUGCACCCAGAUGGCAAUGGCCAUGGUGCACUGCCGUGUGUGUGCCGGGAUGGCCCCAGUGGCACCGCCUUGCCACCCCUGGAAAAAACUGCCGGUGUGCUGUUUUGAUUUUCUUCUUAAAUAUGUCAUCACAGAGGCGUUACCAACCUCUCCAAUUGGGUCAGCACCACGUUCAUCUUCGGAGCUACCAGAGAUUGGCUCUGUCAGAUGUGGUGGAAGCUUCUAGCAGCUUCUCACAGAAGCCACUUCUGGCCUUCCCCCACUACCAAAAAAAACAGGCUGUGCCAAAACAACACAGCCCAAAUAAAGCCAGCCUCAGGCAACCCCCUGAA
Molecule: long non-coding RNA, 1174 nt
Organism: Haemorhous mexicanus (house finch)
Lineage: Eukaryota; Metazoa; Chordata; Aves; Passeriformes; Fringillidae
Exons: 2
Source: RefSeq, a predicted model, not a curated record